UACAGGUAGUCAAGGAGAGAAUCCUAAGGCGCUCGAGUGAUCCAUGGCUAAGGAGCUAGGCAAAAUCGCCCCGUAACUUCGGGAGAAGGGGCGCCAGCAGCAAUGCUGGCCGCAGUGAAAAGGCCCAGGCGACUGUUUAUCACAAACACAUGGCUAUGCUAAAUCGAAAGAUGAUGUAUAUGGCCUGACACCUGCCCGGUGCUGGAAGGUUAAGAGGGGAUGUCAACCGCAAGGCAAAGCAUUGAAUCGAAGCCCCAGUAAACGGCGGCCGUAACAAUAACGGUCCUAAGGUAGCGAAAUUCCUUGUCGGGUAAGUUCCGACCUGCACGAAUGGUGUAACGAUCUGGGCACUGUCUCAGCCAUGAGCUCGGUGAAAUUGUAGUCUCGGUGAAGAUGCCGAGUACCCGCAAUGAGACGGAAAGACCCCGUGCACCUUUACUGCAACUUCACAUUGAUUCUGGGUAAGUGAUGUGCAGGAUAGGACGGAGACAAUGAAGCGGUUUCGCCAGGAAUCGUGGAGUCAUCCUUGAAAUACGUCCCUUUGCUUAUCUGGAACCUAACCCCGCGAAUGCGGGGGACAAUGUGUGGUGGGUAGUUUGACUGGGGUGGUCGCCUCCAAAAGAGUAACGGAGGCUUCCAAAGGUUCCCUCAAGACGAUUGGUAACCGUCUGUAGAGUGCAAUGACACAAGGGAGCUUGACUGUGAGACUGACAAGUCGAUCAGGUACGAAAGUAGGGCAUAGUGAUCCGGUGGUUCCGUAUGGAAGGGCCAUCGCUCAAAGGAUAAAAGGUACGCCGGGGAUAACAGGCUGAUCGCUCCCAAGAGCUCAUAUCGACGGAGCGGUUUGGCACCUCGAUGUCGGCUCGUCACAUCCUGGGGCUGGAGAAGGUCCCAAGGGUUGGGCUGUUCGCCCAUUAAAGUGGCACGCGAGCUGGGUUCAGAACGUCGUGAGACAGUUCGGUCCCUAUCUAUUGUGGGCGUUGGAAAUUUGAGAGGACCUGCUGCUAGUACGAGAGGACCGCGGUGGACACAUCUCUGGUGAAUCUGUUGUGGCGCCAGCUGCAUUGCAGAGUAGCUACAUGUGGACGAGAUAAGCGCUGAAAGCAUCUAAGCGCGAAGCUUACCUCAAGAUGAGAUUUCCUUUGAGGGUUGUAGUAGACUACUACGUUGAUAGGCUACAGGUGUAAAGGCAGUAAUGUC
This 1200-nucleotide ribosomal RNA is filed under the name metagenome. RNAcentral describes it as "bacterial LSU rRNA". It matches the Rfam family "Bacterial large subunit ribosomal RNA", at positions 1658 to 2885 of the family's 2925-position model. The record is from RNAcentral.